ACUAGUAAGUACAACUCAAAUAUACUGGACAGAUGUUAAGACGACUCUAAAAGGUGGAAAGGAAGCUGACCAGCUGGGGGACCUCAGAAAAUGAGCAAAAGACAUGACCUGACAUUUCAACAAAGAGGAUGUACAGAUGGCAGAUGAACCACAAGAUGCCGGACAUCAUCAGCCACUAGGAAAAUGCACAUUAAAACCACAAUGGGAUAUGACACGCUUGUCGCUGACGAAAUGUCCCAAACCAACAGAGCUGCCUGACCUGGGAAUCAGACCCGUCAGCCCUAGUGGGAAAGAAGCCCGCUCCUCCAGCCGCGCACCAGAGAAGGCUACAGUUACCUGGCCUGGUCAAUUCACUGAAGAGAUGCAGGAGAAAGCAGGGGUCAUAAAGGCCAUCUAGAUCCACUGUGCUCCUGUCUU
Molecule: long non-coding RNA, 417 nt
Organism: Prionailurus viverrinus (fishing cat)
Lineage: Eukaryota; Metazoa; Chordata; Mammalia; Carnivora; Felidae
Exons: 3
Source: RefSeq, a predicted model, not a curated record